This 450-nucleotide ribosomal RNA is filed under the name uncultured bacterium. RNAcentral's name for it is "bacterial SSU rRNA". It matches the Rfam family "Bacterial small subunit ribosomal RNA", at positions 354 to 796 of the family's 1533-position model. The record is from RNAcentral.
GUGGGGAAUUUUGGACAAUGGGCGCAAGCCUGAUCCAGCCAUGCCGCGUGAGUGAAGAAGGCCUUCGGGUUGUAAAGCUCUUUCGGCUGGGACGAAAAGGUCCGUGCUAACACCACGGAUCCAUGACGGUACCAGCAGAAGAAGCACCGGCUAACUACGUGCCAGCAGCCGCGGUAAUACGUAGGGUGCAGGCGUUAAUCGGAAUUACUGGGCGUAAAGCGUGCGCAGGCGGUUUGCUAAGACAGGUGUGAAAUCCCCGGGCUUAACCUGGGAACUGCGCUUGUAACUGGCAAGCUAGAGUGUGGCAGAGGGGGGUGGAAUUCCACGUGUAGCAGUGAAAUGCGUAGAGAUGUGGAGGAACACCGAUGGCGAAGGCAGCCCCCUGGGCUAACACUGACGCUCAUGCACGAAAGCGUGGGGAGCAAACAGGAUUAGAAACCCUGGUAGUCC